UACGUAGGGGGCAAGCGUUGUCCGGAUUUAUUGGGCGUAAAGAGCGUGUAGGCGGUCUGGUAGGUCCGUUGUGAAAACUCGAGGCUCAACCUCGAGACGCCGAUGGAAACCAUCAGACUAGAGUCCGGAAGAGGAGAGUGGAAUUCCUGGUGUAGCGGUGAAAUGCGCAGAUAUCAGGAGGAACACCGGUGGCGAAGGCGGUUCUCUGGGCCUUACCUGACGCUGAGACGCGAAAGCGUGGGGAGCGAACAGG
RNAcentral lists this ribosomal RNA (253 nucleotides) under uncultured bacterium. RNAcentral describes it as "partial 16S ribosomal RNA". It matches the Rfam family "Bacterial small subunit ribosomal RNA", at positions 524 to 776 of the family's 1533-position model. The record is from RNAcentral.